This 336-nucleotide small nuclear RNA is filed under the name Octodon degus (degu). RNAcentral describes it as "7SK RNA (ENSODEG00000023897.1)". It matches the Rfam family "7SK RNA". Rfam says of the family: 7SK was discovered as an abundant small nuclear RNA in the mid-70s but a possible function has only recently been suggested. Two independent studies have found that 7SK RNA binds the CDK9/cyclin T complex (known as elongation factor P-TEFb). The record is from Rfam by way of RNAcentral. Lineage: Eukaryota; Metazoa; Chordata; Mammalia; Rodentia; Octodontidae.
GGACAUGAGGGUGAUCUGGUUGUGACAUCUGUCACCCCAUUGAUCACCAGGACUGCUGUGGGCUGAUCUGGAUGGCUAGGCAGAUCCCUUUGUUCCCACAGUGCUUCAUGUGUGUCCUGCCAGAAGCUGCACAUUCAGGCAAAGAGGACAAAGAGCCCCAACAGAGGAGGACCAUUCCUUGGCCAAGGGCACGUGAGUAGCUGCUUUCCCCUUCUAGAACCUCCAAACGAGCUUGCAGUAAUUAACACAUUGUCUAUUGUUGUCUUCAUAGUAACUCAGAGUACAAGAUCUAGGCAUGAUUUGUUGUCCAAACAAUAUUAGCACAAACUUUUGUUU